CGAAGGGGCUAGCGUUGCUCGGAAUCACUGGGCGUAAAGCGCACGUAGGCGGCUCUUUAAGUCAGGGGUGAAAUCCUGGAGCUCAACUCCAGAACUGCCUUUGAUACUGAGGAGCUUGAGUCCGGGAGAGGUGAGUGGAACUGCGAGUGUAGAGGUGAAAUUCGUAGAUAUUCGCAAGAACACCAGUGGCGAAGGCGGCUCACUGGCCCGGUACUGACGCUGAGGUGCGAAAGCGUGGGAGCAAACAGGAUU
Molecule: ribosomal RNA, 252 nt
Filed under: uncultured bacterium
Lineage: Bacteria
Description: partial 16S ribosomal RNA
Rfam family: Bacterial small subunit ribosomal RNA
Source: RNAcentral